CUUGCUUCUCUUGAGAGCGGCGGACGGGUGAGUAAUGCCUAGGAAUCUGCCUGGUAGUGGGGGAUAACGUCCGGAAACGGACGCUAAUACCGCAUACGUCCUACGGGAGAAAGCAGGGGACCUUCGGGCCUUGCGCUAUCAGAUGAGCCUAGGUCGGAUUAGCUAGUUGGUGGGGUAAUGGCUCACCAAGGCGACGAUCCGUAACUGGUCUGAGAGGAUGAUCAGUCACACUGGAACUGAGACACGGUCCAGACUCCUACGGGAGGCAGCAGUGGGGAAUAUUGGACAAUGGGCGAAAGCCUGAUCCAGCCAUGCCGCGUGUGUGAAGAAGGUCUUCGGAUUGUAAAGCACUUUAAGUUGGGAGGAAGGGCAGUAAAUUAAUACUUUGCUGUUUUGACGUUACCGACAGAAUAAGCACCGGCUAACUCUGUGCCCAGCAGCCGCGGUAAUACAGAGGGUGCAAGCGUUAAUCGGAAUUACUGGGCGUAAAGCGCGCGUAGGUGGAUCGUUUAAUUGGAU
This 519-nucleotide ribosomal RNA is filed under the name uncultured bacterium. RNAcentral describes it as "bacterial SSU rRNA". It matches the Rfam family "Bacterial small subunit ribosomal RNA", at positions 79 to 593 of the family's 1533-position model. The record is from RNAcentral.